AGGAAUAUUGGUCAAUGGACGAGAGUCUGAACCAGCCAAGUAGCGUGAAGGAUGACUGCCCUAUGGGUUGUAAACUUCUUUUAUACGGGAAUAAAGUGAGGCACGUGUGCCUUUUUGUAUGUACCGUAUGAAUAAGGAUCGGCUAACUCCGUGCCAGCAGCCGCGGUAAUACGGAGGAUCCGAGCGUUAUCCGGAUUUAUUGGGUUUAAAGGGAGCGUAGGCGGACGCUUAAGUCAGUUGUGAAAGUUUGCGGCUCAACCGUAAAAUUGCAGUUGAUACUGGGUGUCUUGAGUACAGUAGAGGCAGGCGGAAUUCGUGGUGUAGCGGUGAAAUGCUUAGAUAUCACGAAGAACUCCGAUUGCGAAGGCAGCCUGCUAAGCUGCAACUGACAUUGAGGCUCGAAAGUGUGGGUAUCAAACAGGAUUAGAUACCCUGGUAGUCCACACGGUAAACGAUGAAUACUCGCUGUUUGCGAUAUACGGCAAGCGGCCAAGCGAAAGCGUUAAGUAUUCCACCUGGGGAGUACGCCGGCAACGGUGAAACUCAAAGGAAUUGACGGGGGCCCGCACAAGCGGAGGAACAUGUGGUUUAAUUCGAUGAUACGCGAGGAACCUUACCCGGGCUUGAAUUGCAACUGAAUGAUGUGGAGACAUGUCAGCCGCAAGGCAGUUGUGAAGGUGCUGCAUGGUUGUCGUCAGCUCGUGCCGUGAGGUGUCGGCUUAAGUGCCAUAACGAGCGCAACCCUUAUCGAUAGUUACCAUCAGGUUAUGCUGGGGACUCUGUCGAGACUGCCGUCGUAAGAUGUGAGGAAGGUGGGGAUGACGUCAAAUCAGCACGGCCCUUACGUCCGGGGCUACACACGUGUUACAAUGGGGGGUACAGAAGGCAGCUACACGGCGACGUGAUGCUAAUCCCUAAAGCCUCUCUCAGUUCGGAUUGGAGUCUGCAACCCGACUCCAUGAAGCUGGAUUCGCUAGUAAUCGCGCAUCAGCCACGGCGCGGUGAAUACGUUCCCG
Molecule: ribosomal RNA, 1016 nt
Filed under: uncultured bacterium
Lineage: Bacteria
Description: bacterial SSU rRNA
Rfam family: Bacterial small subunit ribosomal RNA
Source: RNAcentral